Molecule: ribosomal RNA, 463 nt
Filed under: uncultured bacterium
Lineage: Bacteria
Description: bacterial SSU rRNA
Rfam family: Bacterial small subunit ribosomal RNA
Source: RNAcentral
ACUCCUACGGGAGGCAGCAGUGAGGAAUAUUGGACAAUGGGCGAAAGCCUGAUCCAGCCAUGCCGCGUGAAGGAUGAAUGCCCUAUGGGUUGUAAACUUCUUUUAUACAGGAAGAAACCUUUGGAUUUAUCCAGAGCUGACAUUACUGUACGAAUAAGCAUCGGCUAACUCCGUGCCAGCAGCCGCGGUAAUACGGAGGAUGCAAGCGUUAUCCGGAUUUAUUGGGUUUAAAGGGUCCGUAGGCGGAUUUUUAAGUCAGUGGUGAAAGCCUACAGCUCAACUGUAGAACUGCCAUUGAUACUGAAGAUCUUGAAUAUAUAUGAAGUGGGCGGAAUGCGUCAUGUAGCGGUGAAAUGCACAGAUAUGACGCAGAACACCAAUUGCGAAGGCAGCUCACUAAUGUAUUAUUGACGCUGAGGGACGAAAGCAUGGGAGCGAACAGGAUUAGAUACCCUGGUAGCUA